This 84-nucleotide transfer RNA is filed under the name Candidatus Tagabacteria bacterium RIFCSPLOWO2_01_FULL_39_11. RNAcentral's name for it is "tRNA-Leu". It matches the Rfam family "tRNA". Rfam says of the family: Transfer RNA (tRNA) molecules are approximately 80 nucleotides in length. Lineage: Bacteria; Candidatus Tagaibacteriota. The record is from RNAcentral.
GCGCGGGUGGCGGAAUCGGCAGACGCGCAAGCUUGAGGGGCUUGUAAGAGUAAUCUUGUGGGAGUUCAAAUCUCCCCCCGCGCA